AACGCUAGCUACAGGCUUAACACAUGCAAGUCGAGGGGCAGCAUGGUCUUAGCUUGCUAAGGCCGAUGGCGACCGGCGCACGGGUGAGUAACCCGUAUCCAACCUGCCGUCUACUCUUGGACAGCCUUCUGAAAGGAAGAUUAAUACAAGAUGGCAUCAUGAGUCCGCAUGUUCACAUGAUUAAAGGUAUUCCGGUAGACGAUGGGGAUGCGUUCCAUUAGAUAGUAGGCGGGGUAACGGCCCACCUAGUCUUCGAUGGAUAGGGGUUCUGAGAGGAAGGUCCCCCACAUUGGAACUGAGACACGGUCCAAACUCCUACGGGAGGCAGCAGUGAGGAAUAUUGGUCAAUGGGCGAGAGCCUGAACCAGCCAAGUAGCGUGAAGGAUGACUGCCCUAUGGGUUGUAAACUUCUUUUAUAAAGGAAUAAAGUCGGGUAUGGAUACCCGUUUGCAUGUACUUUAUGAAUAAGGAUCGGCUAACUCCGUGCCAGCAGCCGCGGUAAUACGGAGGAUCCGAGCGUUAUCCGGAUUUAUUGGGUUUAAAGGGAGCGUANAUGGAUGUUUAAGUCAGUUGUGAAAGUUUGCGGCUCAACCGUAAAAUUGCAGUUGAUACUGGAUAUCUUGAGUGCAGUUGAGGCAGGCGGAAUUCGUGGUGUAGCGGUGAAAUGUCUUAGAUAUCACGAAGAACUCCGAUUG
Molecule: ribosomal RNA, 695 nt
Filed under: uncultured Bacteroidales bacterium
Lineage: Bacteria; Pseudomonadati; Bacteroidota; Bacteroidia; Bacteroidales
Description: bacterial SSU rRNA
Rfam family: Bacterial small subunit ribosomal RNA
Source: RNAcentral